CCUACGGGAGGCAGCAGUGGGGGAUAUUGCACAAUGGGGGAAACCCUGAUGCAGCGACGCCGCGUGUGGGAAGACGAUCUUCUGGAUUGUAAACCACUGUCCCCAGGGACGAAAAUGACGGUACCUGGGGAGGAAGCGCCGGCCAACUACGUGCCAGCAGCCGCGGUAAUACGUAGGGAGCAAGCGUUGGCCGGAAUUACUGGGUGAAAAGGGAGCGUAGGCGGGGAUGCAAGUUGGGUGUCAAAACUACCGGCUCAACCGAUAGUCGCACUCAAAACUGCAACUCUUGAGUGAAGUAGAGGCAGGCGGAAUGCCUAGUGUAGCGGUGAAAUGCGUAGAUAUUAGGAGGAACACCAGUGGCGAAGGCGGCCUGCUGGGCUUUUACUGACGCUGAGGCUCGAAAGUGUGGGGAGCAAACAGGAUUAGAUACCCGUGUAGUC
This 440-nucleotide ribosomal RNA is filed under the name uncultured bacterium. RNAcentral's name for it is "partial 16S ribosomal RNA". It matches the Rfam family "Bacterial small subunit ribosomal RNA", at positions 338 to 795 of the family's 1533-position model. The record is from RNAcentral.